CAAAGGUCAGUUUAGAAUUGUGAUUCUUAUAAAUAAAACCAAUUUCCUGCUGAGAGCAGAGAGCAGCAGCCUUAGUGGGAAAGCGAAUGCCAUCGGCCGUGCCAGGAAUUUGUUUCUCAAGGACUUUUGUAGGAACAUAUCUCCAAAGAGCCACCCUCUGGAACACUCCCAUUUGAGAGAUAGGUCAACUAAGGCCUAAGGAGAUGAAGCGAGAACUCAGAAAGUCAGAAACAGGAUGGAAGAAUUCUGAAAGUUGAGUUUCUUUAAAGGGUAGAAUUCUGGGGUUUAUUUAGAAAAAGUGUUCAAAGCCAUUUCAGACUCAUGUCUUAGUGCCUCAAUCUUCAGGACUGAGCCCCAUGCCUCCUCUUCCAGGAAGCCCCCCUGUGUUUCUCUGUCUUCUCCCGCAACGUUAGAUAUAGCUUCAUCAGUGCCUGUCACACUGUAGGUACUUACCAAGUAUUUGUUGAAUUAAUGUCUCGUUGUCAUAUAUAUAUGCUUCCCCUGUUAGAUUGAACUCCUUCCAGAUGGGGGUCUUGUCUUUCUCCUCCAAGGGUCCUUCCCCCAGCCCCUGGGACACGAUUGGGGAAUGAAUGAAUGAAUGAAUGAAUGGCAGGGAGUGGCACUACGUAUCCUCCCAAGCUCUGGCCCCUCGAGAGCAGACCUGGGUCGCAAAGGGAAAUGAAGCACCAUCUCAAAGCCACAUUCCGGAAGCGGAGACGCCCCGAGCCUUCCCGACUUGAGCCUUAUUUCUGUCUGUUCCAGCACAGGGGUGUUGCUGUCUGGUGGUACAGAGAAGGAUCCUGCAGGUUUCUGCUUGCAGUCACCAGCCCUGCCGCACCUGUCCGAGAGUCGGGACGUGGAAUCCGAGGACGAGGAAGGGCGGUCCCAGUGGAAUCUGAAGAUCUUGGUGGUUUCCGUUUAAAAAAAGGAAAAAAACCCAGGUGGCAUUGGCUUUUCAGGGGAACUGGGGGAACUGUGACCCGGAGAGCUGGAUGUGUCUUCCCAUCUUCCUUAAGUGCAGCUUGUGAGAAGGCCGCAGACCUUCCAUCCACGAGGACCAUGUGGGCCCGGAUCGCUUUCAACCAGGAAUUGCACAGAAUUUCACACGUGCGACUCUUCUUCAUUGCAAACAAGUCACUCAUCAUCACUCAUAAAGGCAGGUCUACUCCACCUCUUCUUGGGGAUUCAGGAACACGUGCAGAGUGGUAGCUGGUGCAGCCUUUAGUUCUAAAUGGUCUCAGCUUUGGGGGGGUGGGCAUGGAGGUGCGAGGGGAGGCAAGAAGUACUUUUUGUGCCUAUUUGAAGUGCAACUUCCCUGGUGCCCAGCCAGGCCUGGCUUGUGGAUGGUCCACCUCAGAAGGGCUAUCCUGAGGGCGCACUCCUCAUUGGAGGGCAAGGAUGGGAGGGCUGCGGAGGAGACACUGCGGAGGAGUGCACAGGCGGGGAAAUUCCAGACACGCCCAUUUUCUACCUGGGCAGCAGACUGUCGCCACCAUCUCCCAGGACCACCCUGGCACAUUGGCAUCCUCUGGGGCCUGAGGACGGCCUUCGCCUUCCUGUGAGACCAACAAGUGGACUCCUGCCAUUUCCUUCCAUCCUCCACCCCCGUCCUCUCUCCCCCAGUUUUUACACAACAGGAUUGAUUCAUGUGAACUAGAUUCAAGUCCGCAGAUGGGGGCAGAAGAAGAGAUGGUGUUGAAUGAGCUUAUUGUUGGAGAUUUCACUGACUUCUUUUAUUGAAUACCCGCCGUCCUGGAACAUAUUGAGUGGAUUUACUGAGAUUCCAAGAGGGGCCUUUUGGAAGGAACUCUGCCUGGGUGCUCGGUACCCCUGACGUCGGGGCUGGGACCUAGCGGGUGGCGAGUUUGCUCCGGGCGCCCCGUCUCCAUUUUUAUAGUGGUGGGUCUUCUUGGGGGCAGAUAUUCUCAGUUACAGUCCCAGACUCCUUAUGAGCUAGGGAUGGUCCCCACCCUACUGCCCUUGGCAGUCAGGCCUUUUGUGGAAUUCCCUUCUAGCACAUUCUUCGAAUAAAUAAAGAUGGACACCCCA
Long non-coding RNA from Myotis brandtii (Brandt's bat), 2049 nucleotides. RefSeq lists it as uncharacterized. The transcript is spliced from 2 exons. Lineage: Eukaryota; Metazoa; Chordata; Mammalia; Chiroptera; Vespertilionidae. The record is from RefSeq and is a predicted model, not a curated record.